CAGAGAAUAGUUUUAAUUUAGAAUUCUAGCUUUGGGAGCUAAGGGUAGGGGUUAAAUUCCCCUUUCUUUGA
RNAcentral lists this transfer RNA (71 nucleotides) under Grammatorcynus bilineatus (double-lined mackerel). RNAcentral's name for it is "tRNA-Pro". It matches the Rfam family "tRNA". Rfam says of the family: Transfer RNA (tRNA) molecules are approximately 80 nucleotides in length. The record is from RNAcentral. Lineage: Eukaryota; Metazoa; Chordata; Actinopteri; Scombriformes; Scombridae.